CGCCCGCCGCGCGCGGCGGGCGGGGCGGGGGCACGGGGGGCGUACGGGAGGCAGCAGUGGGGAAUUUUGCACAAUGGGCGAAAGCCUGAUGCAGCAACGCCGCGUGCGGGAUGAAGGCCCUCGGGUCGUAAACCGCUUUCAGCAGGGAUGAAAAUGACAGUACCUGCAGAAGAAGCCCCGGCUAAAUACGUGCCAGCAGCCGCGGUAAUACGUAUGGGGCAAGCGUUAUCCGGAUUUAUUGGGCGUAAAGCGCGCGUAGGCGGAUUGUUAAGUCGGAUGUGAAAACCGGGGGCUCAACCCGCGGCCUGCAUCUGAAACUGGCAGUCUUGAGUCUGGUAGAGGAAAGUGGAAUUCCUGGUGUAGCGGUGAAAUGCGCAGAUAUCAGGAGGAACACCAGUGGCGAAGGCGGCUUUCUGGGCCACGACUGACGCUGAGGCGCGAAAGCUAGGGGAGCAAACAGGAUUAGAUACCCUGGUAGUCCUAGCCGUAAACGAUGGGCACUAGGUGUGGGGGGUCAUCGACUCCCUCCGUGCCGAAGCUAACGCAUUAAGUGCCCCGCCUGGGGAGUACGGCCGCAAGGCUAAAACUCGAAGGAAUUGACGGGG
This 605-nucleotide ribosomal RNA is filed under the name uncultured bacterium. RNAcentral's name for it is "bacterial SSU rRNA". It matches the Rfam family "Bacterial small subunit ribosomal RNA", at positions 70 to 918 of the family's 1533-position model. The record is from RNAcentral.